This is a long non-coding RNA of Coccinella septempunctata (seven-spotted ladybird), 1991 nucleotides long. RefSeq lists it as uncharacterized. Lineage: Eukaryota; Metazoa; Arthropoda; Insecta; Coleoptera; Coccinellidae. The record is from RefSeq and is a predicted model, not a curated record. The transcript has 3 exons.
GAACUAAAGAAAGAAAUGGAAGGGACCCGCAGUUCAGCAAAUCGGCCGAAAGUGUGUCCAAAAGUGUGGGAGUGAGAAAGACUAUUGGUGGGUAUCCCUUCUCUCUCUUUUAGAUGUUUUGUUUACAUCAAUCAGCUGACGGUUUUGUUGAUUACUCAGUUUAAAUUAGUUUUUGGGAUGAUUUCUGUUGUGUUCAAUUGGAAACGAGAUCUAAAAGUGUUCAGAAUGCUAAAACUCACGAUUAAUAUUCGCUUGAAACUUGAAAAAACUCAAAUAAAUCGGGGAAUCUCCGAAUCCCACUCGAAAACCUUUAAGUAUCUGGAUUUUGGGGUUUCUGAGAAAUAUGGAUCUAGUGAAGGGACAGAUUACCUUUACCUGGCCACCCGAAGGAAUUAAAAGGGUUGAAACUGUCUGAAAAGACCUCUUUCGAUUUUAACUGUCCUCUGAGUUUUUGUGUUUCUCAAAUCAUUGUUGUCCCCAUCAACAUCAGUACUGUUUGCAGUAACGCAAAAUUGGUAAAUUUCAGACAACUUACAACCAUUGUUGUAACAAGUUGCUAAAGGAUGCUCCAAUGAGCCGAACAAAAAUGAGCCAAAGAGUUUCCACAGGUUUCCUUUUAAACGCCCAGAUAUUUUGGAACUUUGGAUUACUGCUGUAGGAAGGGAAAAUUGGUAUACCUCAAAGUAUAGUAGAAUAUGUGAAGAUUACCUUCAUAAUCCAAGUUAUACAUAAAAAUAUUGAAACUUGAUGCUGUACCAAGUGUAUUCAAUAAUAUCCCAAGACAUUCAAGGAUCAUGGAAUACUUACAGUUCCAUCACUCUUCAUAUAUACAACUCACUGUGUUAUGUUCAUCAGAAGUGGAAAAACUUUCCGACCAAUUCUAUAAAUCAUGCAAAUGAAACAAGAAAUAAAGACUCCUUGCAGAUGCCAGUGCACCAUCUGAAGCGCAUACACCAGGGCAUGGACUUCUGGGGCCCCAAACUAUAUAAUAAAAUUCCUUCUAAGUUUCAUGACAAGUCCUUGAUGAACUUUAAGAGAGAAGUGAAAAGGUUGCUUUUAAAUGAAACUAUAUAUUCUAUAGAAGAGUUCUUACCGAGAAAGAAUAUGUGAUGAGGAUUGUUUUUUAUUUUUAUUGUGUUUGUAUGCAUGUUGUUACCACUGUGAUAUUUUAUAUUUGUUUAUUACUGUCGACACCAUUUGUAAUAUUGAUUGCAAACGAAGAUCCAUCUAAUCUAAUCUAAUCCGAUGAGAAGCAGAGCGCAUGUAAGUUUUCGAGUGAAUUUGAAUUAUUUGAAAUCAAUAAUUUUCUUUUUCAUUGUAGACUAUUACUGUAUAUGUAAACUAUUAUAUAUAUUGUUUAUAAUAAAAAUAUAGAAAGAAUUGACACUUGUUUUUUUUUGGACAACGCUCCUUAAUUAAUUUAAAAUUCAGUAUAGUAAAAGGAAAAUAUGUAUGUUCAACAUGUAGAUUAGAACCUUGAUGAAUUUCACAUGAUUAUAUUCUUUCACAAUAUACUAAUCUAGUUAAAAUGAACAAAUUUCUGUUAUUUUCACACAAAAAAAGACUUAUUAAAUUCCGUCUGCACUGCUCUGAAAAAUAUGAUCAACAUCGCAAAAUUAACUCAGAAAACGUCUUGAAUUGAUGAAAAAUAUGAUUCCAAUCAUCACAGUUCGAGAAACACGAGUCCAAAAUUUCAGAUAUCCCCAUCUCAUUGUUGCAGGUAUUUGGCAAAAAAAUUAUUAAAUUCCUUCUACACAACUAUGAAAAUAUAAUUUACAUCGCAUAAAGGUUAUCUAUGAUCGAAUAAUCAACUCAGAAAACGUCCUGAUUUGAUAAAAAAUACGAUUCAAAUCAGAAAAACGAAACGUCAAAAAUUUAAAUUCAAACUUUAAUAGGUUAUCUCUCCUUGCGCAAGUAUAGAGAGAGAAAGAUAUACAUCCAAUUGUCUAUUUCAGUCGGCCUCACUUUUGCUGACCCGAGAGUCCCUUCCA